UUUAACUCAUAUUCUUUUGAACUCAUGCGAACUCUUGAAGCACUUAUGACUGAAUGGAUAGUAGUUUGUGUUGUUUGUGAAUCUGUUGUUAUAACUAAAAGAACUUCAAAACCUUAAAUGCUCUCUUCACUUUGGCUAUGACCACAUGCACAUGAAGCAAGUGUCCCUUAUGCUAGAGGUAUUUGAUGAUUUUUAAGAAUUUGUGUUUCAAUUUCUACUCUCUUUUUUUUAGUGACAGUACCAUAUUGCUACCUCUACACAUUUGGUAAAGUUAAAUCUUCUUCCAACCUUCAGUUGAAAUGGUUUAUAGUUCAAUAUUUUCGUUGUGUAUGCUUAUUGCCAGAACAUCAAAGGUAAGAGCAGACUUCUUUGGUGAACCAAAAAAGUGGUGUCUGUUUUGCACUAGGUACUGAGUUAAACUAUACAAUCUAAGAUCAACGUACACAAGGAGUUCAUUGCUGCUUUUCAGAAUAAUCUGUUUUGGUUUAAGCUUGUUGGUAUUUGUGUUGAUUAACAUGGAAAAUUUAUUGGUCUGGCUCUAGACGAGAAUUGGAAGAAUGAAUUCCGCUAACAUCAUGUCUUGAAACACAUUCUUAGAUUAUGCCCUAGAUUUUUUGGGUUAUGCAGACCCCUACAGAUUUGACUUAUCUUUGUUUUUUGGGUUAUGCAGACCCCUACAGAUUAUGCCCUAAAAUUUUUUAUUUUUAAACUUGCCAUUCUAGUUGCUGUACCUAGAACUGGAAGUGGGAAGUAGAAGAAGAAUCAGAAUUGAAGUUAGGUGCUAUGUGGAUCCUGGUAUAGCUAGGGUUUUGCAUACAUUAUGCUGAUGGAGGCCAGGCAAAAUAUACUUUGAGUUCGGCAUUGGCACUAUUUAAGCAUACCAACUCAAUGCUAUGUAUCAUGACCUUGGCAACUGUCCACAAGCAGUUUGCUUAUGUAAGUGUCUGGUCUAAGAUCAUUUUCACAUGUAGCAAAGAACUACAUCAUGGAGCUUUCAUUUGGAGGAGAGCUCAGGAGAAUGAGGUGGAUAAAGCAAUCCUCGUGAUACCCAAGGUAUGAAAUCGGCUUUAUGAAAUGGGCAGCAAUUAUUUUUGAAGAUAGUGAACUUGUGGGCGAAUUUGAUCUUACCUAAAAUGUCCUCAGUUGCCUCAAAUUCGUCUUGGCAGAGGAGGAGGUCAAAGGGAUCAACUAAAGGGUAGCAGAGGAAUGGAGGAGGAGCAAUCACAGACAUGGAAGGGAAGAAAGGUGAAAGAGGGUGAGAGUGAACCGUCAUAGGCUGACAUUUUUGUGAUGACUCAUACAAGCAAGAAACAAGAUUAUCAUAAUGCAGAAACGAGUAAAAUACUUUUGCUGUACCUAGAACUGGAAGUGGGAAGUAGAAGAAGAAUCAGAAUUGAAGUUAGGUGCUAUGUGGAUCCUGGUAUAGCUAGGGUUUUGCAUACAUUAUGCUGAUGGAGGCCAGGCAAAAUAUACUUUGAGUUCGGCAUUGGCACUAUUUAAGCAUACCAACUCAAUGCUAUGUAUCAUGACCUUGGCAACUGUCCACAAGCAGUUUGCUUAUGUAAGUGUCUGGUCUAAGAUCAUUUUCACAUGUAGCAAAGAACUACAUCAUGGAGCUUUCAUUUGGAGGAGAGCUCAGGAGAAUGAGGUGGAUAAAGCAAUCCUCGUGAUACCCAAGGUAUGAAAUCGGCUUUAUGAAAUGGGCAGCAAUUAUUUUUGAAGAUAGUGAACUUGUGGGCGAAUUUGAUCUUACCUAAAAUGUCCUCAGUUGCCUCAAAUUCGUCUUGGCAGAGGAGGAGGUCAAAGGGAUCAACUAAAGGGUAGCAGAGGAAUGGAGGAGGAGCAAUCACAGACAUGGAAGGGAAGAAAGGUAGCUUCCUUUUUCUUUUCCUACCACCACUCUCCUCUUUCCUAUCUUCUCCAUUGUCGAACUAUUACCUCACUUCGUCAUUCCCCGAUUUCCUCCAACAUGCAUAGCAUCAUCUAGUUGUAAAGAUGCUUCUUGUUGCUGUCAUAGUAUUUUAGAAGAGGAAAAUAAUAAUUUUUUUUUCUGGAGUUGCCAUCACCAUAUUCAUAUGACACUACCUCUACCUGUUGAAAUAACCUUGAAGAGGAGGCUCACUUAUAAUGCUUAUUAUCUAUACAUUGUCCUCUUAUAACUAAAUAACUAAAUGCAUAGAAUGAACAAUAUUUUGGUAAAUGUAAUCUCAUCAUUGAAGAGCC
Molecule: long non-coding RNA, 2223 nt
Organism: Nymphaea colorata (pocket water lily)
Lineage: Eukaryota; Viridiplantae; Streptophyta; Magnoliopsida; Nymphaeales; Nymphaeaceae
Exons: 9
Source: RefSeq, a predicted model, not a curated record